RNAcentral lists this ribosomal RNA (1185 nucleotides) under Vibrio parahaemolyticus. Its description in RNAcentral is "bacterial SSU rRNA". It matches the Rfam family "Bacterial small subunit ribosomal RNA", at positions 285 to 1474 of the family's 1533-position model. Lineage: Bacteria; Pseudomonadati; Pseudomonadota; Gammaproteobacteria; Vibrionales; Vibrionaceae. The record is from RNAcentral.
AGCUGGUCUGAGGAGGAUGAUCAGCCACCACUGAACUGAGACACGUCAGACUCUACGGAGGCAGCAGUGGGAUAUGCACAAUGGGCGCAAGCUGAUGCAGCCAUGCCGCGUGUGUGAAGAAGCCUUCGGGUGUAAAGCACUUUCAGUCGUGAGGAAGGUAGUGUAGUUAAUAGCUGCAUUAUUUGACGUUAGCGACAGAAGAAGCACCGGCUAACUCCGUGCCAGCAGCCGCGGUAAUACGGAGGGUGCGAGCGUUAAUCGGAAUUACUGGGCGUAAAGCGCAUGCAGGUGGUUUGUUAAGUCAGAUGUGAAAGCCCGGGGCUCAACCUCGGAAUUGCAUUUGAAACUGGCAGACUAGAGUACUGUAGAGGGGGGUAGAAUUUCAGGUGUAGCGGUGAAAUGCGUAGAGAUCUGAAGGAAUACCGGUGGCGAAGGCGGCCCCCUGGACAGAUACUGACACUCAGAUGCGAAAGCGUGGGGAGCAAACAGGAUUAGAUACCCUGGUAGUCCACGCCGUAAACGAUGUCUACUUGGAGGUUGUGGCCUUGAGCCGUGGCUUUCGGAGCUAACGCGUUAAGUAGACCGCCUGGGGAGUACGGUCGCAAGAUUAAAACUCAAAUGAAUUGACGGGGGCCCGCACAAGCGGUGGAGCAUGUGGUUUAAUUCGAUGCAACGCGAAGAACCUUACCUACUCUUGACAUCCAGAGAACUUUCCAGAGAUGGAUUGGUGCCUUCGGGAACUCUGAGACAGGUGCUGCAUGGCUGUCGUCAGCUCGUGUUGUGAAAUGUUGGGUUAAGUCCCGCAACGAGCGCAACCCUUAUCCUUGUUUGCCAGCGAGUAAUGUCGGGAACUCCAGGGAGACUGCCGGUGAUAAACCGGAGGAAGGUGGGGACGACGUCAAGUCAUCAUGGCCCUUACGAGUAGGGCUACACACGUGCUACAAUGGCGCAUACAGAGGGCAGCCAACUUGCGAAAGUGAGCGAAUCCCAAAAAGUGCGUCGUAGUCCGGAUUGGAGUCUGCAACUCGACUCCAUGAAGUCGGAAUCGCUAGUAAUCGUGGAUCAGAAUGCCACGGUGAAUACGUUCCCGGGCCUUGUACACACCGCCCGUCACACCAUGGGAGUGGGCUGCAAAAGAAGUAGGUAGUUUAACCUUCGGGGGGACGCUUACCACUUAGUUAGUGG